RNAcentral lists this ribosomal RNA (407 nucleotides) under uncultured bacterium. RNAcentral's name for it is "partial 16S ribosomal RNA". It matches the Rfam family "Bacterial small subunit ribosomal RNA", at positions 30 to 526 of the family's 1533-position model. The record is from RNAcentral.
AUUGAACGCUGGCGGCAGGCCUAACACAUGCAAGUCGAGCGGAGCGGCGUUCCGGUGCUUAAUGCCUAGGAUUCUGCCUGUUAGUGGGGGAUAACGUCCGCUACCGGGCGCUAAUACCGCCUCCUAUCAGAUUCGCCUAGGUCUGAUUGGCUAGUUGGUGGGGUAAAGGCCUACCAAGGCGACGAUCCGUAACUGUUCUGAGAGGAUGAACAGUCACACUGGAACUGAGACACGGUCCAGACUCCUACGGGAGGCAGCAGUGGGGAAUAGUGGCCAAUGGGCGAAAGCCUGAUCCAGCCAUGCCGCGUGUGUGAAGAAGGUCUUCGGAUUGUAAAGCACUUUAAGUUGGGAGGCGUGACCAAAAGAAUAAGCACCGGCUAACUUCGUGCCAGCAGCCGCGGUAAUAG